This 465-nucleotide ribosomal RNA is filed under the name uncultured bacterium. Its description in RNAcentral is "partial 16S ribosomal RNA". It matches the Rfam family "Bacterial small subunit ribosomal RNA", at positions 28 to 507 of the family's 1533-position model. The record is from RNAcentral.
GACGAACGCUGGCGGCGUGCUUAACACAUGCAAGUCGAACGGAAAGGCCCUGCUUGCAGGGUACUCGAGUGGCGAACGGGUGAGUAACACGUGGGUGAUCUGCCCUGCACUUCGGGAUAAGCCUGGGAAACUGGGUCUAAUACCGGAUAGGAGCCAUUUUUAGUGUGAUGGUUGGAAAGUUUUUUCGGUGUAGGAUGAGCUCGCGGCCUAUCAGCUUGUUGGUGGGGUAAUGGCCUACCAAGGCGGCGACGGGUAGCCGGCCUGAGAGGGUGGACGGCCACAUUGGGACUGAGAUACGGCCCAGACUCCUACGGGAGGCAGCAGUGGGGAAUAUUGCACAAUGGGCGCAAGCCUGAUGCAGCGACGCCGCGUGGGGGAUGACGGCCUUCGGGUUGUAAACUCGUUUCGCUAGGGACGAAGCUUUUUGUGACGGUACCUAGAUAAGAAGCACCGGCUAACUACGUG